Molecule: small RNA, 30 nt
Filed under: Bombyx mori (domestic silkworm)
Lineage: Eukaryota; Metazoa; Arthropoda; Insecta; Lepidoptera; Bombycidae
Description: ovarian small RNA-26424
Source: RNAcentral
UCCAAAAAGCUAGCGAUCCACUUGCGAUCC